UUGUCGUGCUGGUGGUGGUGGUGGUGGUGGUGGUGGUGAUGAUGAUGAUUCUCCUUAUUAUUUAUAUUAUUAUGGCGCACAGCUGAUGAGGAGGCGAUGGUUAUGGAUGGGGCCUCACUCCGAUAUACAUACAUGGCUGUUGCUGGUUCGGUACUGGUCACCUGCCAUCAUUCCUUGCAUACAUACAUACGUAAACGCACAUGCAAGCACAUGCACCACCGGCGGUAUAUCCACACACCAACACACACACAGACACACACUCUCUCUCUCUCUCUCAAAAACUAAUCCAUACACACACACACAUACAUACACACACAUACAUACACACACUCUCUCAAAAACGUCCCCCCAACAAUUGUAUCUCUGUGUUUGUGAGCUUGGGAUUGAUUCACCCGCCCCCUAACAUUCACGAGCUCCCACACCGUGUACAUGUGCUGAUGUACUACUCUGUACUGCUGUAUUGCCGGACCUUGGACCACUCUUCAGAUGCGAAUGUACAUGCCAUGCAAAGCUGCUGCAUUUGUGCGCUGCGUGUUGUGUUCCUCACACGCGGCUGUUGAAUUCCAGUUCUUUCGACCGUAAGAGGCAGGAUGCACCCCCAUGCCGGCGUUGGACAGCGAUGGACCUGGUUAUAGCGACCUGCGGAACCGAUUGGGAGUGGAGUUGACGCUGCUGCCGUUGAUCCCGCAGAUUCCGCAGAUUCCCGCAGAGCCGGCAUGCAUGCGAUGGAUGAGUUCUCCCCCAAACAUGUGGAAAGGUAGGACUGCCCGGCUAUUGUCCGUGGGCAAAGCUGUACCCCCCCUACACCACACAUUUAUGUUCUGCAUCUGUGCAUGUGAGUUGGGCAUGUGUAUCUAUCUCUGAUAGGAAAGCCACCUCAUGAACCUGCUUGCGUGAGCAAACCCCGGACGACCGUUACACAUUUGCUUACAGCUCCCUUUCCUAUCCUCUCCUUUCCCAUCCAAAGCCCAUCGUCAUAUCUUCCUCGCCUUCUCUCCUCCCUGUCUGCGCUUGUUGGCGUGUGCCCACGAUUUCAUCAAAAGUGUUCCUGCAGUCGAUCACGAUGGGACUCGAACCCACAAUCCCCGCCUGAAUCCCUGGCGUAAAACCGGAGGGCGAUGCACUUAUCCAUUAGGCCACGCGACCACUGCGAUGACACGCAGCACACACAUCGGGUCUCAUACGCCCCGUUGCUAGACGACAUGGGAGCUGCGAANNNNNNNNNNNNNNNNNNNNNNNNNNNNNNNNNNNNNNNNNNNNNNNNNNNNNNNNNNNNNNNNNNNNNNNNNNNNNNNNNNNNNNNNNNNNNNNNNNNNNNNNNNNNNNNNNNNNNNNNNNNNNNNNNNNNNNNNNNNNNNNNNNNNNNNNNNNNNNNNNNNNNNNNNNNNNNNNNNNNNNNNNNNNNNNNNNNNNNNNNNNNNNNNNNNNNNNNNNNNNNNNNNNNNNNNNNNNNNNNNNNNNNNNNNNNNNNNNNNNNNGUGGCGUGUAGUGGAUGUCCUUUGGCGUGUUGAGCGCCUCUACCCCAAAGUGGGGGAAAGGAAGCGCUGCAAAUUUGUUGAUUUGCAUACCGCCGUUGUAGGCUUUUGCUCGAUGCUGCUGAUGAGAGGAGAGGAGAGGCCCCGACUUGCUGCAAUCCGCACCAUCCGCAUGACUCUCAUUUGACUCACCAUCGUCAGAUGGUCAUGGUUGUCGUGGUGGUGGUGAUGGUUGUCGUGCUGGUGGUGGUGGUGCUGGUGGUGGUGGUGGUGAUGAUGAUGAUGAUUCUCCUUAUUAUUUAUAUUAUUAUGGCGCACAGCUGAUGAGGAGGCGAUGGUUAUGGAUGGGGCCUCACUCCGAUAUACAUACAUGGCUGUUGCUGGUUCGGUGCUGGUCACCUGCCAUCAUUCCUUGCAUACAUACAUACGUAAACGCACAUGCAAGCACAUGCACCACCGGCGGUAUAUCCACACACCAACACACACACACUCUCUCUCUCUCUCUCUCUCUCUCUCUCUCUCUCUCAAAAACUAAUCCAUACACACACACACACACAUACAUACACACACUCUCUCAAAAACGUCCCCCCAACAAUUGUAUCUCUGUGUUUGUGAGCUUGGGAAAGAUUCACCCGCCCCCUAACAUUCACCAGCUCCCACACCGUGUACAUGUGCUGAUGUACUACUCUGUACUGCUGUAUUGCCGGACCUUGGACCACUCUUCAGAUGCGAAUGUACAUGCCAUGCAAAGCUGCUGCAUUUGUGCGCUGCGUGUUGUGUUCCUCACACGCGGCUGUUGAAUUCCAGUUCUUUCGACCGUAAGAGGCAGGAUGCACCCCCAUGCCGGCGUUGGACAGCGAUGGAUCUGGUUAUAGCGACCUGCGGAACCGAUUGGGAGUGGAGUUGACGCUGCUGCCGUUGAUUCCGCAGAUUCCGCUGGAAUUUGGUGGUGCGUGCUCAACACCAAAAAGCCGCUGACGUUGCAUGAGCCGGCAUGCAUGCGAUGGAUGAGUUCUCCCCCAAACAUGUGGAAAGGUAGGACUGCCCGGCUAUUGUCCGUGGGCAAAGCUGUACCCCCCUACACCACACAUUUAUGUUCUGCAUCUGUGCAUGUGAGUUGGGCAUGUGUAUCUAUCUCUGAUAGGAAAGCCACCUCAUGAACCUGCUUGCGUGAGCAAACCCCGGACGACCGUUACACAUUUGCUUACAGCUCCCUUUCCUAUCCUCUCCUUUCCCAUCCAAAGCCCAUCGUCAUAUCUUCCUCGCCUUCUCUCCUCCCUGUCUGCGCUUGUUGGCGUGUGCCCACGAUUUCAUCAAAAGUGUUCCUGCAGUCGAUCACGAUGGGACUCGAACCCACAAUCCCCGCCUGAAUCCCUGGCGUAAAACCGGAGGGCGAUGCCUUAUCCAUUAGGCCACGCGACCACUGCGAUGACACGCAGCACACACAUCGGGUCUCAUACGCCCCGUUGCUAGACGACAUGGGAGCUGCGAGUCUGCGCGGCCCCAUCCCACAAUCACAUCACCUUCACGGGCGUGUUUUGCUGGGCACACGGGGGCAUUUAGGCGUGGCCGACCGGUUGUCGGGGCAAGGAUAUUAUUCUCAAUAUGUGCGGGUGCACAUUCUGUUCGUUGCAUUCUGUUCCCCACUGCACCGAACAUCGUCCCCCUAUAUGAGUGUGCAUAUGCAUGUGUCGGGCAGGGAGAGGUCAUCAUCAAAUCGCUGCGUGUGCUAGUACUGGGGCUGCAUGCAUGCCUUUUUUCGUAGGUGCGGGCCAGAAUGCUUCAGAGUAACCAAGUACAGCGUUCUUGGGCGUGUAGUGGAAGUCCUUUGGCGUGUUGAGCGCCUCUACCCCAAAGUGGGGGAAAGGAAGCGCCGCAAAUUUGUUGAUUUGCAUGCCGCCGUUGUAGGCUUUUGCUCGAUGCUGCUGAUGAGAGGAGAGGAGAGGCCCCGACUAGCUGCAUCCGCACCAUCCGCAUGACUCUCAUUUGACUCACCAUCGUCAGAUGGUCAUGGUUGUCGUGGUGGUGGUGAUGGUUGUCGUGCUGGUGGUGGUGGUGGUGGUGGUGGUGGUGGUGAUGAUGAUGAUUCUCCUUAUUAUUUAUAUUAUUAUGGCGCACAGCUGAUGAGGAGGCGAUGGUUAUGGAUGGGGCCUCACUCCGAUAUACAUACAUGGCUGUUGCUGGUUCGGUACUGGUCACCUGCCAUCAUUCCUUGCAUACAUACAUACGUAAACGCACAUGCAAGCACAUGCACCACCGGCGGUAUAUCCACACACCAACACACACACACACACACACACACUCUCUCUCUCUCUCUCUCUCAAAAACUAAUCCAUACACACACACACAUACAUACACACACAUACAUACACACACUCUCUCAAAAACGUCCCCCCAACAAUUGUAUCUCUGUGUUUGUGAGGUUGGGAAAGAUUCACCCGCCCCCUAACAUUCACCAGCUCCCACACCGUGUACAUGUGCUGAUGUACUACUCGGUACUGCUGUAUUGCCGGACCUUGGACCACUCUUCAGAUGCGAAUGUACAUGCCAUGCAAAGCUGCUGCAUUUGUGCGCUGCGUGUUGUGUUCCUCACACGCGGCUGUUGAAUUCCAGUUCUUUCGACCGUAAGAGGCAGGAUGCACCCCCAUGCCGGCGUUGGACAGCGAUGGACCUGGUUAUAGCGACCUGCGGAACCGAUUGGGAGUGGAGUUGACGCUGCUGCCGUUGAUCCCGCAGAUUCCGCUGGAAUUUGGUGGUGCGUGCUCAACACCAAAAAGCCGCUGACGUUGCAUGAGCCGGCAUGCAUGCGAUGGAUGAGUUCUCCCCCAAACAUGUGGAAAGGUAGGACUGCCCGGCUAUUGUCCGUGGGCAAAGCUGUACCCCCCUACACCACACAUUUAUGUUCUGCAUCUGUGCAUGUGAGUUGGGCAUGUGUAUCUAUCUCUGAUAGGAAAGCCACCUCAUGAACCUGCUUGCGUGAGCAAACCCCGGACGACCGUUACACAUUUGCUUACAGCUCCCUUUCCUAUCCUCUCCUUUCCCAUCCAAAGCCCAUCGUCAUAUCUUCCUCGCCUUCUCUCCUCCCUGUCUGCGCUUGUUGGCGUGUGCCCACGAUUUCAUCAAAAGUGUUCCUGCAGUCGAUCACGAUGGGACUCGAACCCACAAUCCCCGCCUGAAUCCCUGGCGUAAAACCGGAGGGCGAUGCCUUAUCCAUUAGGCCACGCGACCACCGCGAUGACACGCAGCACACACAUCGGUUCUCAUACGCCCCGUUGCUAGACGACAUGGGAGCUGCGAGUCUGCGCGGCCCCAUCCCACAAUCACAUCACCUUCACGGGCGUGUUUUGCUGGGCACACGGGGGCAUUUAGGCGUGGCCGACCGGUUGUCGGGGCAAGGAUAUUAUUCUCAAUAUGUGCGGGUGCACAUUCUGUUCGUUGCAUUCUGUUCCCCACUGCACCGAACAUCGUCCCCCUAUGUGUGUGUGCAUAUGCAUGUGUCGGGCAGGGAGAGGUCAUCACCGCUCGCUGCAUGUGCUAGUACUGGGGCUGCAUGCAUGCCUGUUUUCGUAGGUGCUGGCCAGAAGGCUCAAGAGUACCAAGUACAGGCGGUCUUGGGCGUGUAGUGGAUGUCCUUUGGCGUGUUGAGCGCCUCUACCCCAAAGUGGGGGAAAGGAAGCGCCGCAAAUUUGUUGAUUUGCAUACCGCCGUUGUAGGCUUUUGCUCGAUGCUGCUGAUGAGAGGAGAGGAGAGGCCCCGACUUGCUGCAAUCCGCACCAUCCGCAUGACUCUCAUUUGACUCACCAUCGUCAGAUGGUCAUGGUUGUCGUGGUGGUGGUGAUGGUUGUCGUGCUGGUGGUGGUGGUGCUGGUGGUGGUGGUGGUGAUGAUGAUGAUUCUCCUUAUUAUUUAUAUUAUUAUGGCGCACAGCUGAUGAGGAGGCGAUGGUUAUGGAUGGGGCCUCACUCCGAUAUACAUACAUGGCUGUUGCUGGUUCGGUACUGGUCACCUGCCAUCAUUCCUUGCAUACAUACAUACGUAAACGCACAUGCAAGCACAUGCACCACCGGCGGUAUAUCCACACACCAACACACACACACUCUCUCUCUCUCUCUCUCUCUCAAAAACUAAUCCAUACACACACACACACAUACAUACACACACUCUCUCAAAAACGUCCCCCCAACAAUUGUAUCUCUGUGUUUGUGAGGUUGGGAAAGAUUCACCCGCCCCCUAACAUUCACCAGCUCCCACACCGUGUACAUGUGCUGAUGUACUACUCUGUACUGCUGUAUUGCCGGACCUUGGACCACUCUUCAGAUGCGAAUGUACAUGCCAUGCAAAGCUGCUGCAUUUGUGCGCUGCGUGUUGUGUUCCUCACACGCGGCUGUUGAAUUCCAGUUCUUUCGACCGUAAGAGGCAGGAUGCACCCCCAUGCCGGUGUUGGACAGCGAUGGACCUGGUUAUAGCGACCUGCGGAACCGAUUGGGAGUGGAGUUGACGCUGCUGCCGUUGAUCCCGCAGAUUCCGCUGGAAUUUGGUGGUGCGUGCUCAACACCAAAAAGCCGCUGACGUUGCAUGAGCCGGCAUGCAUGCGAUGGAUGAGUUCUCCCCCAAACAUGUGGAAAGGUAGGACUGCCCGGCUAUUGUCCGUGGGCAAAGCUGUACCCCCCUACACCACACAUUUAUGUUCUGCAUCUGUGCAUGUGAGUUGGGCAUGUGUAUCUAUCUCUGAUAGGAAAGCCACCUCAUGAACCUGCUUGCGUGAGCAAACCCCGGACGACCGUUACACAUUUGCUUACAGCUCCCUUUCCUAUCCUCUCCUUUCCCAUCCAAAGCCCAUCGUCAUAUCUUCCUCGCCUUCUCUCCUCCCUGUCUGCGCUUGUUGGCGUGUGCCCACGAUUUCAUCAAAAGUGUUCCUGCAGUCGAUCACGAUGGGACUCGAACCCACAAUCCCCGCCUGAAUCCCUGGCGUAAAACCGGAGGGCGAUGCCUUAUCCAUU
RNAcentral lists this long non-coding RNA (6474 nucleotides) under Volvox carteri. Its description in RNAcentral is "long non-coding RNA (VCAR_LNC000983)". Lineage: Eukaryota; Viridiplantae; Chlorophyta; Chlorophyceae; Chlamydomonadales; Volvocaceae. The record is from RNAcentral.